RNAcentral lists this ribosomal RNA (323 nucleotides) under Alphaproteobacteria bacterium. RNAcentral describes it as "partial 16S ribosomal RNA". The record is from RNAcentral. Lineage: Bacteria; Pseudomonadati; Pseudomonadota; Alphaproteobacteria.
GGAGUUUGGGCCGUGUCUCAGUCCCAAUGUGGCUGAUCAUCCUCUCAGACCAGCUACCGAUCAUCGGCUUGGUAUGCCUUUACCACACCAACUACCUAAUCAGAUAUAGGCCCCUCUAAAAGCGAUAAAUCUUUAACCCUAAGGCAUCAUCCGGUAUUAGCACCAGUUUCCCGGCGUUAUCCCCGACUCUAAGAUAGGUUCCUAUACUUUACUCACCCGUGCGCCACUCGUCAUCUAAGAAGCAAGCUCCUUAAUGUUACCGUUCGACUUGCAUGUUUUAAGCCUGCCGCCAGCGUUCGUUCUUGAGCCAUGAUCAAACUACU